AUUGUGAAAGCAGACUAAUGCAUAAAAUUUAGAAUUUUAAGGAAACUUCACAAUC
Molecule: transfer RNA, 55 nt
Filed under: Thyreophagus entomophagus
Lineage: Eukaryota; Metazoa; Arthropoda; Arachnida; Sarcoptiformes; Acaridae
Description: tRNA-Leu
Source: RNAcentral